Molecule: long non-coding RNA, 510 nt
Filed under: Vigna radiata
Lineage: Eukaryota; Viridiplantae; Streptophyta; Magnoliopsida; Fabales; Fabaceae
Description: long non-coding RNA (VRAD_LNC009915)
Source: RNAcentral
UCACGUGACCUCAUUUANCUCUACCAAAUAAAUUGAAAAUGGCCUAAAAGUGGGGCUCUUGGCCGUGAGGUUGCUGCAGCAUUUCCAAUCAAUCAAUGCAUCUUAUUUUGAAACCAAAUACCACCGAGUGCUCCUCCAAAUUGANUCACCGUGCACACUCUUUUCUCCAAAGCAAGUAAGUGCAAGAAAAAAAUAAAAUAAAAUAAAGAAAAACGUUGCAACGUGCUCCACUCCACAAAGUGACAAACCCCUAUUCUAAACUAAGCCUAGACACCACUUCCAAUUUCUCCAAAAUUAAUUAACCAAGUUGCUAAUUCCCAAUGAAGGUCACCGUGGCUGCAACUUUCUAUCCAAAUGAAGCCAAUUCUUCUUUCACGUGGCAGCAGCAGCAGCGUGAAUAAAUGGACAAGACUAAACCUCUGUGCAACAAUUCUAUUCACACUAAAAGCAAUAGCAAAAUGGUGUGUGCANACCCUUUAAUAAAAGGAAAAUUCAAUGUAAAAUAAAUUG